Ictidomys tridecemlineatus (thirteen-lined ground squirrel) is the source of this 7468-nucleotide non-coding RNA. Lineage: Eukaryota; Metazoa; Chordata; Mammalia; Rodentia; Sciuridae. The record is from RefSeq and is a predicted model, not a curated record.
AUGCCUGUGCUAGUCCACUGGUCCCAGGAAAAGAAUGUGAAACACAGGAAGCAGAGCUUUCCCAAAUGGUAAAGCAGGAAGAAUUUUUGACUCAGAUCAACUUGAAACAGAUUACAGACUGGAGGAAUUUGUUUUCUGCCAACUGGAAAGUGUACCAAGGGUCUCCAAUCUUCAAUGAUCAAAGGCAUUAAAGCAUUGUGGAGCAAUGAGGAAACAGCACACAGAAAGCAGCAAGCCAGUGUCGGGGAUAAUUGCACUGGGACCACCUGCCACAGCCCUCCUGCCAUGUCAUUUCAGACUGAGCAUUAUAAAGUGUGAGCUGGCGAAGGACGGGGUGGCCCUUUGUGUGGAUUUAGUACACGAAUCUGCCGCAAGUGUCCAUCUACAGCCAUGUCUCCCAGGUCGGGCAGCAAGACACCUCAUGGCAGAUCCCAGAUUAUAAAUCAUUUGGGGUAUGCAGCCCUCAGUGAUUGCUCCCAUGAUCAACACCUGCUUUUCAACAGCCCUGGGCUAGCAUCCCAGAUUGAUUAAAUGACAUACCUGACCACUGCCCCGAAGGAAAGAAGUGCAAAGUGAGCCCUGGGCCUGUGUCCCAGAGAAGCUACAGAGGGCCCUGGCAGGCCUGGCGUCAGGAGACAGGCCGCCCUCACACCCCAGGAUCUCUGUGCACAUUCUACAUCAAGGCCUGCUGUCAUCAGAAGCCCGAAGCAGAAAUGUGACCACCGGGCAAGGAAGUAAGCAUUGAACUUGAACAGAAACUCUCUGCUUGGUGGAUAUUCCAUCUCCCCAGACCCCCCUUCUAGAUAAAACCCAAAGGAUGAAGCUCCAGCACCCUCUGACUCUAGAAAAGUCAGAGGAAACCCAGAUAUUCCCACAGUAGCAGAAAGACCUUUCUUGAACGGCUUCUAUCUGAAUGAGUAGACUGGGAAGAGCCAGCCCUCCCUCCAUGGGGCUUGCUGAGGCUUUCCUGAUCACUGUCCUCCUCACCAGUGGAUGGUGAGAAACACCAGACCUGGAGCUACCAACCCCAGCAAGUGCACUCCCUGCCGCCGGCUGGCUGCAGUCACGGCACAAUCAUCCUCAGGUAGGAAAGGGCUAUCCAGUUCAAUUCCCUUUCUGGUCUUCUUCAUCAUAAGGAUGUUUGACUUUAUUGCCUUGGAAAAUGGGGGAAGGUGAAUUCAGAGCAAAAUAAAUAUUUCCUAAUUUUAAAUAAAUAUUGCUAACCACAGUGAUUGUGUUCCUGAGCCCAACGCAGUGAGAGAAAUACAAAGAUCAAAAUUAGAAGGAGAAAAGAGAAUAUUUACAUGUUUAAAUAUGAAUCCAAAGUUUGAAUUUAUUGUGUUCAAAGCAUCUGGUCUGAUUCUGUAAAUGUCACUGGCUGCUGCUCACUGUCUAUCCAGCACUACCUAAAUGGCAGCAGAGAAGCUGGCCCUUCCCUGUGUCCAAAUCUGAAGGUAAAGAUCAAGGACCUCAGCACAGCAAUAACAAUGACCGUGUUCCAUUGAACACCUUUAUUCUGCAUUUCUAGCCAAGAAAUGAAAGUUAUCUGAGAGGUGGGAGGUUAAUGCUCUAUAUCCCUCCCCUAGGCUCCCCUGACCUUGUUCUAUUUUCUUUUCUUUGUUUUUUCCUGCGGUGUGGUUACCAGGGAUUGAACUCAGGGGCACUCAACCACUGAGCCACAUCCCCAGCCCUAUUUUGUAUUUUAUUUAGAGACAGGGUCUCACUGAUUUGCUUAGCACCUUGCUUUUGCUGAGGUUGGCUUUGAACUUGCCAUCCUCCUGCCUCAGCCUCCCAAGCUGCUGGGAUCACAAGUAUGCAUUACUAUGCCCGGUCCAUUUCCUUUUCUUGUUGCAGAAUGUUUACAGAAUGUGCACCCUAAAGAGUCUGGGGUAUCACUGAGCCUGAAAGGCCUUUUGCCUUUAGGUAUGUACAGUAUAGUGGGAAGAAGGGAGAUAAGACUGCCUGCUGUCAAUGUCAUCCAGAGAAGGUGACAUUCACUAGGAUGUAUGACAAAUACAGAAAGUGACAUAAAGUCUAUGAUGUAUGUAUAUACUUAUAUAUAUAUAUUCCAUUUCUUCACACAUAGAUACAUGUGCUAUUAUCCCUCCAAAUUUCCAUAUUGGACUCCUGUUAACCAUUAAAACAAGUAUCCUUUAAAAAAAAUAUGGAGCACAUGGUAUAAGUUAAGCACUGUGUUUUUGCUUUAGUGAACAUCAUCAUGAGUCAGUUCUGGAAGCAUUGUGUGAGAUGGAGGUUUUACCUUAAAUACAGAGAAUAAAGCUGUGCUCCCAGAGAGAAUAUAAUCUUCCCUGGUUACCGUUAUACCAGCCUACGUCUGCUCUUCCUUGAAAGUGAUUUGAAGUAAAUAAAUGAAAUGGCCAUUUAUCCCUAACAAUACAAUGGUACUUUUGUACCCACUCUGAACAACUAACUGGGUGAACUCCUUGAAAGAAAACACUGGAAGGGAGUUUGGAGAUCUACAUACUUACCACAAAGGGCACGUGCAAUGGAGAGAGAGAGAAGAGAGGUUGUAACAAGGACUGGGAGCUCUUGUGUCCACAGUGGACACAAUUCCAUUGUCCAGGGCAGUAAAGAAUUAUUCAGAAUUAUUCUCACUUGGAAAUGCCAACUUCCCUCCUGCACUGGUGAGGAAAUCAAGGCCCAGAGUUGAGUCCUGGAUUCAAGCUCUUCCCUCUUGGUUCAGAAUAGUCAGUUUUCCACAGAUGAGCCAUGGGAGCAAUAAUACAUUAAGGUAGCUAGACAGACACACAGACAAAUAUUUCAAUAUUGUGCCUGCUCUCCUGUACCAUCCACUUCUGUUAAUUAGCUCUGAAAAUACAUGGCCAUUCCUUAUACCUGCCUGCCUCUUGGGGAGAAAUAUAAUUCCUAGCAGUAAUUUACGUCUAUCUUUUUCUGUCCUUCUGAGUUAGGACUUCCUUUUUAGAACCUGAAUUCACCAGGAAACUUCAAAUCACUCCAAAUAAUGACCCUUCGAUUCAACCAACACCUAUUGAAUGUUGUUGGACCCUGAGCUUGGCCCUCAUCAGUACCUUGUUUCAUGUAAUUGCAACUCAACCCUGCAAAGCAGAUACAAACUCCAGCAUACAGGGACCCACGUCGUCAAAAGAGGAGUUGCUGUUAGACUUGUCUCACUGACAUCAAGUGGCCCAAGGGAGAAGAAGAGAGAUGAAGGGCCAAUCACAGGAGGAGUUAUGGAACACACAGAGAAACUGGAAAAUUCAAAAUUAAAUUUCAAGGGUAAGAAUGUACUGACGGGACCAAUUCACUCAGAACCUGAGAAAAAUACACUCUUUGUGAUGAUAGAUGAGGCUAAAAUUCCCCAGGAAUUUAGUUUUGAUCCUAUUGGUGAACAACACCUAACCUCUUUGGAGGACUCAGGUUUUCCCUGUUUCUACAUACCCCUAAAACUCUACUUCCUAGAAAGUAAGCAAAGGAUCCCUAACUUGUGACAGGGAUAACAGGAAGUUCUCAUGGAAUUGGCAUGACAAUGGGUACAAAUAUAGUGACUAGAGACAUCCUCUGCAGGAGAAAAAGAACGCAACUCUGUCACAAAAUGGGUUUUGUCUUGUGAAUUACAGAAGAAGUUCUUGGAUGGAGCAGGGAGGAAGGAAAGGAAGGAAGCUGGGGUGGGAAAGGAAAGUGUUGUUAUUUUCUUUUUCUGGGGCUAAGGGACAACCACAAAUUGGAUUUGCUCCAGUGCUAUGGGCAACAGAAACUCAAACAAGCCUUGGGGGUUCCUGAAGUGUGUUCGUGGACUUGAGCUCAUCUUAAGCUAGACACAGGGAUUUGAAGACUAAGAUCUGAACAGAGGUCAGGUCCCUUUGACCCACUUACUCUUCCUUUAGGUGUUUCCAACAAAUUCCAGGACCAUUCUCUUAACUACCAGUUUUGUCCCCCAAGUCACCUCAGUCUAUGACCUUCUUUUGGAGACAGAGCUCCAAUUGGUUCCAGAAUUUUUUCUGUUCUCAAUUGGACUUGAUUGAAGCAACAGAAUAUGAUCUUUUUAUGGAUGUGAAGGACAUUCCAGCAUGGUGGCUCUUGUUGUUCAUUUAUAUAUAAGGUUUUUUCUCUCUCUCUCUCUCUCUCUCUCUCUCUCUCUCUCUCUCUCUCUUUUUCAAUGAAUAAAAGCUUCAUCUACCUUUAAGAGUGACCUUGACAGAUCUGCUCAAACAAUGAGCCCUCACAAAUCUGUUUCUCAGUAACAACAUGUUUAUAUGAGAAUGCAAAGGCUAAUCUGAAUAAUCACCUCCUCUGAAAAAUAUAGAGAGAAAUGAAACCUCUCUCCUUUAUAGUAUUAGGUUUCAUGGGUAAAGCCUGUGAAUUCAGCUAAUAAAAGACAGAUUAACAGGAGAAAAUAAAAUGAUUUAUUUAUGUGUGAAAUGCAAAUCCAUAUGGGAGAACUUAGUGAUGAGUUAUGCAAAAGUGUAACUAGAAUUGAGAUCUUCUAUACCAUCCUAACAAAGGGUAAUGAGUAUAGAGAAGAGGCUGGAUAAAGGGAAAGGGGCUUAGGGCUUGGAAGGGUAAAUUAUGGAAAGCAUAUUAGGAAAUGAUCCCUGUACUAAGAAGCAAGGGCUGUUGAAUAAAAUUAUGCAGAUAAGAGUCAUUCUCUAUUUUCUGGUAGAGGGGAAUGGAAGACCUUUAUAAUGACAAUGUAUUCAAUUUUCACAAAGAGAAAUUCAUGUCCUGUUUUUAGACAGAAGGGGAGUGGGUAGAGAGAGCUAAUUGCUUCCAGCUCAAAAUAAUCCCUGAAAUUUCCCAUUUGGGGGUGGCAUUCUCUGAUCUUCAGUAACAUAACUUUGAUGUUAAUUGACACUGAAAAACUCUCAAAUAUUUUUUGACAUCUUGUCCUCAGAGAUCUGUCUGCCUCCAGUCUUAAGGAAGAGCUCAAAAAAUUAAGAGGUAUGAAGGUGUGGUAUGCCCAGAGUGGGUAUUUCUACCCAGCUGGAGAUCAGAGAAGGGUUAGGAGAGCAGGUCAUGAAUGCUGGCAGGGUUGUCAGGAGGCCCUCCACAUAUUUUCUAACUUGCAGUGAGGAGUCAGCUAAGGUUCUAAAGUUGAUAAAACAUCAGUUUAGUAUUUUAGUUUUGGUGAUGUUCCUGGAAAGAGGAGAAACUAACGAUAGAAGGAUGAGACAAUCUUUCAUUUUUGAAGGGAAACACCAAGCACCUGCAGUGUGUUGGGUGCUCAGCCAGGUAGGGAGGAUGAGCUGAUAGUGAGACCAACACCAUUACUAUCCUCUCUCUCCCAGAGCUUGCAAUCUAGUGGGAUAUGGGGACAGCAACAGAUACCGCUGAUGGUCCCAACCGGCUUCCGCAAACCACACAGGGCAUGUUUUCAAAGUAGAGAAUCUGAGGUGUGUGUGAAAUAUGAAGAGGUUUGAGGGACCCAGAAGCAACAUCCAUUCCCACCAGCUUAAACAUGGAAACAGAACUUGUAAAACUAAUUUGAUCUGGAGAAAAUCUUCUUUCCCAUUCAUCAACUAUGAGUUACUACUCAGAAGAGAACAUUUCCCCUGAGUGAGAGGAAAGUGUCCAAGUAUCAGUGCCUAAGUGUUAAGCCCAGAUCUGGGCUGCAGCAUGUCCCCUUCAUCCACUAGGUAAAGAGUAAAAUGCCUGAAACACAAACCUAGGCCUGAAUUCCAUUUGUAAAACUCACUACCUGUAACUCUCUGCUAUGAUUUGGAUGAAUGUCCCCAAAGGUCCAUAUGUUAAAGGCUUGGUUCCCAGGGUGGCACUACUGGGUGGUGAAGGAACCCUUAGAAGGUGGAGCUUAGUGGGAGGUUCUUAGAUCAUUGUUGGUGUGCCCUCAAAGGGGAGAGUAGGAUCCCAGUCUCUUCUUUCUCUUUUGCUUUGGGCUUAUGAGGUAAGUGGUUUGUUCUGCUAUGUACUCUUGUCAUAAAAUGUUGCCUUGACACAGGCCCAAAACAAUGAGGCCCAUUGGUCAUGGACUGGAACCUUUAGAACUAUGAGCCCAAAUAAACCUUUUCUCUUUACAAGAUAAUUAUCUCAGGUACUUCAUUAUAGUGAUAGAAAACUGACUAAUUCGGUGAUGCAAUUCUAGAGAAAAGAUGGUUAUUUUUUGCCCAGUGUUUCACAAAAGUCAGUGAGAGAUCUGACAAAGAACCAUUUGUUGACCAUCAAUUUACUAGUGAUCUUUUUUGUAUCCCUUCCAGAGUCCAAAAGCUCCUCACCUAUGGAAACCAUCGAUGCUUCAUUAAUAUUAAAUUCCUUUAAUGAAAUUAACAUAUUUUAUGUUUCCCUAAUUCAGCAAACCCUCCUUCUCUUUCUAUUCUGCUCCAAAUGGGUUAGCUAGUCCUUAGCAAAAAUAACAGGUUUAUUGCUUCAGUUCCCACAAUGCACAUGUAUUUAUUAGGUCCUGCCUUAGAGCAUAUUCAAACAUUUUCUAUGAUCAUUUUUUGCAAAUGUCAGAGAUCUGACAAUUCAACUUCAGAUGACUCUUAACAUGCAGACUACCAUUCAGAGCCAGGUACCCCCAAAUUACAAUAUUUCAGUGCCUUCCAGGUACUCUAUAUGACCUGCUAAUUAUCUGUCAAAAUGUGGGCAUCAGACACAAAUCAAACAGGUUUAAAAAAAAAAAAAACUUGAUCCAAUCUCUGCCUUUUCUAGUUUCUAAGCCCCUGAAAACCAUAUACAUCAAGCCCAUGUCUUGGGCUGGGACAGUACGUAUUUUAAUGUAUUCCCCAAAGCCCACAUUCUCUGCAAAGAACUGUUUCUUUUGCUGCUGGAAUUAACAAGCCAAUUCACUUUCCUCAUCUGAGAACAUCUGAACGGUGUGUAGCUGACCUGGCCCUUCCUUUCUGGAGGGCGUGUUGCAGUGCCAUGAUAAGAAUGUCUCUUGAACUUGAACAUAGCACUUUCUGCUUGGAGGGGACUCCUGACGAAGCUGUCUGAUUCCAUUUAUCCUGUCCUAUGUGGAUACCUGUUCGAGAACACAAGAGCUGCCUUUGAUAUUUAAGCUUCAUUUCACUUACUGAAUUCCAGGAAAGUUCUAACAUUUGGUAAGCAAACCAACUUCAGUUACUACUACUCAUCAGUCAGACAUUCAACUAAUUUCUAUUAAGUGCUGACUCUGUACCAGGUCCUAUGCUAGAUAGAGUUAAUAAAGUAAGUAAACAGACUCUAAAUUCUAGAGUAGUUAACAAUAUUUUUGGAGGAUUUUAUAUGACAUUAGUGGCCUUUUUUUGAUAAGAGUUUGGAGUACACAACCAAUAUCCUCAAUUGUAAUAGGUAGUUCACCAAUUUAAAAAAAAAUGAAAGCAUGUUCUUAUAUGCUAAUGUAUCUCUAUGAGAACAGGGAGUUUUGUCUCUCUUAUUCAGGCUACAUCCCUAGCACCUUUACUAGUAUCCAACUCAUAGUAGGUUCUUAAUAAAUAUUUUAUUUUAUUUUUUUUUGUAGUGCUGAGGAUUGAACCCAGUGCCUCGUGCAUGC